GCACCCCUUGCACACAGAAAAACACACAAUGCAUUACACACACACACACACACAAGCAAUUCAACCCUUACACACAAUGCAUCCCUUACACACACAGAAACACACAAUGCAUUCCUUACACACACUCAAUGCACCCCUUACACACACUCAAUGCACACCUUACAGACGCACACACUGCAUCCCGUACAUACAUAGAAACACACAUUGCAGCCC
Non-coding RNA from Pelobates cultripes (western spadefoot toad), 213 nucleotides. Lineage: Eukaryota; Metazoa; Chordata; Amphibia; Anura; Pelobatidae. The record is from the annotation of a GenBank genome assembly.